RNAcentral lists this ribosomal RNA (1508 nucleotides) under uncultured prokaryote. Its description in RNAcentral is "partial 16S ribosomal RNA". It matches the Rfam family "Bacterial small subunit ribosomal RNA". The record is from RNAcentral.
AGAGUUUGAUCCUGGCUCAGAGCGAACGUUAGCGGGAGGCUUAACACAUGCAAGUCGAGCGAGAAAGUCACUUCGGUGGCGAGUACAGCGGCGGACGGGUGAGUAACACGUGGAUAAUCUGCCCUUUGGCGGGGGACAACAGCUCGAAAGGGUUGCUAAUACCGUUUACAGGCCUUGGCUUGUAGAGGGAAAGAUGGCCUCUUCUUGAAAGCUAUCACCGAAGGAUGAGUCCGCGUAGCAUCAGCUUGUUGGUGGGGUAAUGGCCUACCAAGGCUAAGACGCUUAGCUGGUCUGAGAGGAUGAUCAGCCACACUGGGACUGAGAUACGGCCCAGACUCCUACGGGAGGCAGCAGUGGGGAAUAUUAGACAAUGGGGGCAACCCUGAUCUAGCCAUCCCGCGUGAGUGAUGAAGGCCCUUGGGUCGUAAAGCACUGUGGGGAGAGACGAAAAAGCGCAGCAGGAAAUGGCUGCGCCUUGACGGUACCUCCUUAGCAAGCACCGGCUAACUCUGUGCCAGCAGCCGCGGUAAUACAGAGGGUGCGAACGUUGCUCGGAUUUACUGGGCGUAAAGCGCGUGUAGGCGGACUCGCAAGUCGGUUGUGAAAUCCCUGGGCUCAACCUAGGAACUGCAUCCGAAACUGCUUGUCUUGAGUAAUGGAGAGGGUGGCGGAAUUCCCGGUGUAGAGGUGAAAUUCGUAGAUAUCGGGAGGAACAUCAGUGGCGAAGGCGGCCACCUGGACAUUUACUGACCGCUGAGACGCGAAAGCGUGGGGAGCAAACAGGAUUAGAUACCCUGGUAGUCCACGCCGUAAACGAUGAGAACUAGGUGCAGCGGAUAUUGACCUCUGCUGUGCCGUAGCUAACGCGUUAAGUUCUCCGCCUGGGGAGUACGGCCGCAAGGCUAAAACUCAAAGGAAUUGACGGGGGCCCGCACAAGCAGUGGAGCAUGUGGUUUAAUUCGAAGCAACGCGCAGAACCUUACCAGGGCUAGACAAACUAAGAACCCGAAUGAAAGUUUGGAGUGCUCGCAAGAGAGCCGCUGUACAGGUGCUGCAUGGCUGUCGUCAGCUCGUGUCGUGAGAUGUUGGGUUAACUCCCGCAACGAGCGCAACUCUUGCCUUUAGUUGCCAUCCUUAAGUUGGGCACUCUAGAGGGGACUGCCGGUGUCAAACCGGAGGAAGGUGGGGAUGACGUCAAGUCCUCAUGGCCUUUAUGUCCAGGGCUACACACGUACUACAAUGGUCGGUACAAAGGGCAGCUACUUAGCGAUAAGAUGCUAAUCCCAUAAAACCGGUCUCAGUCCGGAUUGGAGUCUGCAACUCGACUCCAUGAAGUUGGAAUCGCUAGUAAUCGUAGAUCAGCAUGCUACGGUGAAUACGUUCCCGGGCCUUGUACACACCGCCCGUCACACCACGGGAGUCUGUUGUUCCAGAAGUAGUUAAGCUAACCCGCAAGGGAGGCAGGCUACCAAGGAAUGGCUGGUAACUGGGGUGAAGUCGUAACAAGG